This 70-nucleotide transfer RNA is filed under the name Marmota marmota marmota (Alpine marmot). It matches the Rfam family "tRNA". From Rfam's summary of the family: Transfer RNA (tRNA) molecules are approximately 80 nucleotides in length. Their secondary structure includes four short double-helical elements and three loops (D, anti-codon, and T loops). The record is from Rfam by way of RNAcentral. RNAcentral also lists the same sequence under 1 other name. Lineage: Eukaryota; Metazoa; Chordata; Mammalia; Rodentia; Sciuridae.
GGGGUUGUGGCUCAGUGGCAGAGCGCUUGCCUUGUACAUGUAGGCACUGGGUUCGAUCCUCAGCACCCCA